Molecule: ribosomal RNA, 440 nt
Filed under: uncultured bacterium
Lineage: Bacteria
Description: bacterial SSU rRNA
Rfam family: Bacterial small subunit ribosomal RNA
Source: RNAcentral
CCUACGGGGGGCAGCAGUGGGGAAUAUUGGGCAAUGGGCGGAAGCCUGACCCAGCCACGCCGCGUGAGUGAUGAAGGCCUUCGGGUCGUAAAGCUCUGUGGGGAGGGACGAACAAGGGCGGCCCUAAUACCGCCGCUCCCUGACGGUACCUCCUUAGCAAGCACCGGCUAACCCUGUGCCAGCAGCCGCGGUAAUACAGGGGGUGCAAACGUUGCUCGGAAUUAUUGGGCGUAAAGCGCGCGUAGGCGGCUACUUAAGUCGGAUGUGAAAGCCCCUGGCUCAACUGGGGAAGUGCACCCGAAACUGAGAAGCUAGAGUACGAAAGAGGGUCGCGGAAUUCCCGGUGUAGAGGUGAAAUUCGUAGAUAUCGGGAGGAACACCGGUGGCGAAGGCGGCGACCUGGGUCGAUACUGACGCUGAGGCGCGAAAGCGUGGGGAGC